Molecule: non-coding RNA, 617 nt
Organism: Solanum lycopersicum (tomato)
Lineage: Eukaryota; Viridiplantae; Streptophyta; Magnoliopsida; Solanales; Solanaceae
Source: RefSeq, a predicted model, not a curated record
CAUAGGAAGCUGCAGAAACCUGAGAAAUCUAUUUUCGGUUACGACCGCUCGAAGUCUUGGCAAAUUAGAAGAGUUAAAGGUAAAUGACAUGCCAAAUCUGGUAGAACUCAUAAGCAAUGAAGAAAGUGAAAGGAGAGAGGAAAACGAUAAAAUAAUCGUGCUGCCAGAGUUGAAAGUCCUGAGAAUUACAAAUUCUGGAAACAUGGAACGGCUUUGUACAGAGGCUUUCUGUAUGGAUCUACCAUCGUUAGAAGAAUUUGUUCUUCUGGAGUGUCCUAAAAUGGCUGACACUGUUAAACGUGGACUGGGUAGCGCAUCAAAUCUUCUUAAAGCACAGAUUGAGGAGCAAUCAUUCUUUGGCACAAUGGCACGAGAAGUUUUCAGUAGAAAGGUGUGAUGAAUCACCAAUCGCUAGUUGGUACAGGGAUUAGGGAAGUCCUUGGCACUUAUUGAAGGGGUGUACAUUUGUGGAAGCUUAUUCAUUUGUUUUAUCUUUUCACACGUUUCUUCAAUUGACAUCAAACAGAGUCCAUGGACAAUAAAGAUUGGUUUCCUAUAUUAGGGUUUGUAUAUAAUGUAGAAUGCCUCCCUAUCCAUGUGUUGGUUUGCCUUUGCUG